RNAcentral lists this long non-coding RNA (3613 nucleotides) under Solanum tuberosum (potato). RNAcentral's name for it is "long non-coding RNA (STUB_LNC010174)". The record is from RNAcentral. Lineage: Eukaryota; Viridiplantae; Streptophyta; Magnoliopsida; Solanales; Solanaceae.
AAACUAUUGUAAUCUGCUGGUAUAUGUUUUAGGGCUUUAGCCCAAAUUCUGCUUCUGCUGCUGCUUUAUUACGGCCCCUUUAACUAAAUAUUAGCUUCCCUUUUGAUGAACUUGGCAGGCGCUUUAGCGAAAAAAAGACGUAUAUUGGGCUUCAACCCAACGUAUAUGCAUCAGAAAAAUAGUGAGUCCAGCGGAAUCGAACAGCAGUAUAACAUGUAAAAAUAACAAAGAGCAGAAAAUUAGUAUCUGUAAGAGAGAUUAGCAUACUGAAUUUAACAUUCAAUGAAAAUUUAAGGAAAUUGUUCAUCAUUUAUUUUCAAAAGUAACGCUACUAGUAAUCUUAUUCACAUGUAAGUAACUCUUGGUGGAAUGAAAUUCAUAGCAGAUGAAAAAUAAAACUAGCUACCGAAAUAUAUGGCUAACACAUUACUCAUAAACUAUAUAUAUAUUCUUAGUACAUGAAAUUAAGACUCCAGGAAGACAGAAAGGUGCAAGAAAGUAGAACUUCAACAAAAUUCCCUUAUCAAGGGUAACAGGAUCAUAUGACUUAUGGGAAUUAGCUUAUAUACUUAUUGAACUCUUAAAUCCUUAAUUAAACUCAAGCAGUCUUCUCGAAUAUGAGCACAUCAAAUUAGUGAAUCAGCAUACAUUCAAGGAAGAUCAAACAGAGGAUAAAUUUGAGCGAGCAUUGAACACAAACCGAAGUUGUCAUAAAGGUAACGACAAAGAAACCAAGUCCAUCUCGGAAAAGUAAAUCAACUAAAUAAAGCGAAGAUAGAACUCAGAUAUAAUCAGCGAGAUAGGCAUCUGAACUAUCACCCUAUUUAGUUGUUUCUCAUUUGGAAAAAAAAAACUCAGAAGUAAAAAUAUAUUCUACCUUUAUAUUCAUUUCUGGAAAAAUUCAAAUACUUGGAACACACUAUGUAAUCAUAAGAAUGUAUUCUACUUUUUAAGUUGAACACAGAUGGGAGCUCGAUGACUAAGACUAACAAAGCACGGGGUGGAGGUAUUUUAAGGGACCAUCAAAGCAACUUGAUAAUGGCCUUUACUAUGUCUAUGAUCUUUCACUCAAAUAACUAGGCUGAAACACACACAACACUUUAUGGUCUCAAAUGGUGUAAGCAAAAACAAAAUAGGCCCUAUUAUCUUAGAAAUGGACUCAAAGAUGGUGGGGGAUAUGAUAAAUGGCAUAUGUCAACACUGGACUGAUGAGAUUCAAAAUAAUCUGAAGGACCUCAAUGCUACUGUGGUCCACUGUUUUAGGAAAGUCAACACUACUGCUGACUCCUUGGCAAAAUAUGACGCCAUAGAAGACUCAUCUAUGAUUUUCACUAACUCUGCCCAAAUGCCUUCGAUGACUCGGGGAAAUUAUCUGAUGGAGAAGAAUGGUAUGAUAAACUUUAGAAUCAGAAGCAAAAGAAAAGGAAUAGGCUGAGGUCUGUGAGCUUCUGAGGAUCCUAAAGUUGUUAAAAUUCUUCUAUGGUCAUACUUCAUAGUACCUUUUUGUGGGCUUCGGGACAAGGGCAACCCCCGUAUCUGCUGUUUUGCUUCCUGAGGUUAAGGUUUUAAGUCCCCUCAUGUAAUCGAUUUAAUUGAUAUAUUAGAUAGAUAACUUUAUUUAAGAAAUGUACAUAAUCUUGAAACACUACAAAUAGCUCCAAGACAGUAGCUUGAAAACACGUAUAAAGGAAAGUAUUAACUUACAGAAAGACCAAAAAAAAUGACAAAGAAGGCAGGUUUGAAAUGACAACAAAAUGCUUGUUCUUCUCCUUUACAUUUGAAGAUCAGAAGAGAUAUAUAUGUAGAGAAAGUGCAACAUUUAUCUAUAAGAUUUAGCUACCAUUGACAUAUAUAUGUAAUUGAACUAUGUUGAUUAAGAUAUACUAUGACCCUUAUAUGAUAAAGAACUCACUGUUUAUAGCAAGAGCAAGCAGAUUUCAACACGAGAAUACCAAAUAAUCUCAUUAGAAUGACUCAGGGGAUAACAAAGAGCAACGUAAACCAGAGAUUUAACUUAAAACGGCAAAAUAAAUUCUAAAUGACUGUCACACAAUAGCAGGAAUUUAUCACUCAAAACAAUAGAGUCCUAUGGGCUAAAACAACCAAUUAUUAAAACACUUCAAAUGGAAAACAAGUAAGGCUUAAAUACAAGAAGAAACUUUCGUCAUUUUUAGGCAAACAUAAACCAUUUGAAACAAAAUUUAAUAGCAAAAGGAAGCAGACUUUCCAGAAAAGUAACAUUUAAACAAGAACACAUGACUAUGGCUAUGGCUUCGGCACAAGAAUAUUCAAUCGUCUGAUACAAAACUUCAGCUUUUCAAAUAAACUAGGGAUGAAAUUGAGUUGUAGCAAUUGCAAGAAUAGACGACUUUGGGUGGCCAGCGGUGUUGAAUUAACAGACGAUGCCACAUAACCAAAUAAAGAAAUAUCACAUACAUAUAUGGUCUUCUAGAUUAUGUAAGACUGGUCAUUUGGUUAAAAGAACAAAUAAAUUAAAGAGAGGCUGGGUAGCUCGCAAGACUUCUCCUUUGAAGGAAAUCGCUUUACAGCUAGAGCACCCUCAUAAUGACCCUCAGGAAGAUCAACAAUCAAUCUUAUGUCUAACGCUGACCUUCCCACAAUCAGUCUUGAGCCCAAUAUUAAAGUUAAGGCACGUGCUACUAGAUAGCCUCUUCAGAACUAGCAUGUAAUAAUAUUUUCACAUUAUGACAUAGGCUUGACUUUUUGCCUAUAAAAGAGACAUUUCAGUAGAUCUAAUAGUGUCGAGAUCUCUCUCUGUAAAUAUUACAAGUUCCAUCUUUUAGUGUUUCAAUGGAAGAAGACUUUCAAGCAAUUUCACUCUUGUAUUCUAUCCCAACUUUAUUUGCUUGGCCAGCAGAAAAGAAACUUGAACUAUCUUAAUCCACUUGCCUUGAACUCCUUUUCACAAAUUUUACUGUUAAUCAAAAUAAUAAUAUUUUCAAGUAAACAGUUUCGCAUUAUUCGUGGGGACAGGCACCUGUGGUAUUAUUUUGAUCUAUUUUUCUAACUCUUUGUUGAAUCACCAGAGUCUGUCCUCUAAAGAAUUUCUACCAUGUGGAGGACCUAACACGACGGUCUAUCUUCCAAUGCUAGCAUUAUGAGUGCGUCCUGUUGGAAUGAAAGUUAACCAGUAUGGAGUCUAUUGUCUCUGGGUGGUUCAUCGACUAUUCAGACCUCGUCACUUGGGUACUCAAAAUCGUAAUUGAUUUACUGAAAUGCGGUGUGCCUUAGGACUUUGCCCAAACUAUGAGGGACUUUAUCGAGUCAUCUGAAUAGCAAAGAAAGAUAGUGUGGAAUCUUAGAUGAAACCAACACCGAGCUAUCGGGAACACUGUGGCAACAAUGGUUUAUACUCAUAAAACAUUGAACCCAGAUGCUCAACCAAUUCAAAUCAUGCCUAUUAGCAAACAAAUUCGAAAGUAAACAGUUGUCUAUGCAGAAACGAAAACUGAGGUAAAAUAAAAGAGAAGGAAAGGCCAAUUACCUUUUGUUGAGCAGCAAGCGUGACGGGAAGAUGGAGAAAUUUGAACUAUCAACCAACAACUCCCUAUUUUGAGGAGAAAAUCCCUAAUGGAUAAGGGGAAUGGGCCGG